Molecule: ribosomal RNA, 578 nt
Filed under: uncultured bacterium
Lineage: Bacteria
Description: partial 16S ribosomal RNA
Rfam family: Bacterial small subunit ribosomal RNA
Source: RNAcentral
UAAGGAAUAUUGGUCAAUGGACGCAAGUCUGAACCAGCCAUGCCGCGUGAAGGAUGAAGGUCCUCUGGAUUGUAAACUUCUUUUAUAGGGGGCGAAAAAGGGAAAUCUUUCUCACUUGACAGUACCCUAUGAAUAAGCACCGGCUAACUCCGUGCCAGCAGCCGCGGUAAUACGGAGGGUGCAAGCGUUAUCCGGAUUCACUGGGUUUAAAGGGUGCGUAGGCGGGCGUAUAAGUCAGUGGUGAAAUCCUGGAGCUUAACUCCAGAACUGCCAUUGAUACUAUAUGUCUUGAAUAUGGUGGAGGUAAGCGGAAUAUGUCAUGUAGCGGUGAAAUGCAUAGAUAUGACAUAGAACACCUAUUGCGAAGGCAGCUUACUACGCCUAUAUUGACGCUGAGGCACGAAAGCGUGGGGAUCAAACAGGAUUAGAUACCCUGGUAGUCCACGCCCUAAACGAUGAUUACUCGACGUGUGCGAUAAACGGUACGCGUCUGAGCGAAAGCAUUAAGUAAUCCACCUGGGGAAGUNCGACCGCAGGUUGAAACUCAAAUGAAUUGACGGGGUCAUAGCUGUUUCCUG